This 64-nucleotide transfer RNA is filed under the name Simianus niponicus. Its description in RNAcentral is "tRNA-Asn". The record is from RNAcentral. Lineage: Eukaryota; Metazoa; Arthropoda; Insecta; Coleoptera; Callirhipidae.
UUAAUUGAAACCAAAAAGAGGUAUAUCACUGUUAAUGAUAGAAAUGAGAUAAUCUCCAAUUAAA